AGAAGCGAGAAUGUUGACAUGAGUAGCGACAAACAGGGUGAGAAACCCUGUCGCCGAAAGUCCAAGGGUUCCUGCUUAAAGCUAAUCUGAGCAGGGUAAGCCGGCCCCUAAGGCGAGGCCGAAAGGCGUAGUCGAUGGGAACCAGGUUAAUAUUCCUGGGCCAGGAGGAUGUGACGGAUCUCGAGGAUUGUCUGCCCUUAUCGGAUUGGGUGGGCCGUUUAGAGGUUCCUGGAAAUAGCCCUCCAUCAGACCGUACCCUAAACCGACACAGGUGGACUGGUAGAGUAUACCAAGGCGCUUGAGAGAACCACGUUAAAGGAACUCGGCAAAAUGCUCCUGUAAGUUCGCGAGAAGGGAGCCCCGUCUGUACGCAAGUAUGGGCGGGGGGCACAAACUAGGGGGUGGCGACUGUUUACUUAAAACACAGGGCUGUGCUAAGCCGUAAGGCGACGUAUACAGUCUGACGCCUGCCCGGUGCUGGAAGAUUAAGAGGAGGGGUGCAAGCUCUGAAUUGAAGUCCCAGUAAACGGCGGCCGUAACUAUAACGGUCCUAAGGUAGCGAAAUUCCUUGUCGGGUAAGUUCCGACCUGCACGAAUGGCGUAACGAUCUCCCCGCUGUCUCUAACGUGGACUCAGCGAAAUUGAACUGUGUGUCAAGAUGCACACUACCCGCGGUUAGACGGAAAGACCCCAUGAACCUUUACUCCAGCUUUGCACUGGUAUCAGGAUUGUGAUGUGCAGGAUAGGUGGUAGGCAUCGAAGCGGGGACGCCAGUUCCCGUGGAGCCUCCCUUGAGAUACCACCCUUCGCCAUCUUGAUAUCUAACCGCGGCCCGUUAUCCGGGUCCGGGACCCUGCAUGGUGGGGAGUUUGGCUGGGGCGGUCGCCUCCCAAACAGUAACGGAGGCGCGCGAUGGUUGGCUCAGACCGGUCGGAAAUCGGUCGUUGAGUGCAAUGGCAGAAGCCAGCCUGACUGCAAGACUGACAAGUCGAGCAGAGACGAAAGUCGGUCAUAGUGAUCCGGUGGUCCCAAGUGGGAGGGCCAUCGCUCAACGGAUAAAAGGUACUCUGGGGAUAACAGGCUGAUGAUGCCCAAGAGUCCAUAUCGACGGCAUCGUUUGGCACCUCGAUGUCGGCUCAUCUCAUCCUGGGGCUGGAGCAGGUCCCAAGGGUAUGGCUGUUCGCCAUUUAAAGAGGUACGUGAGCUGGGUUUAGAACGUCGUGAGACAGUUCGGUCCCUAUCUGCCGUGGGUGCAGGAGACUUGAGAAGAGUUGACCCUAGUACGAGAGGACCGGGUUGAACGAACCACUGGUGGACCAGUUAUCGUGCCAACGGUAGUGCUGGGUAGCUAUGUUCGGACAGGAUAACCGCUGAAGGCAUCUAAGCGGGAAGCCCCCUUCAAAACAAGGUCUCCCUUGAGGGCCGUGGAAGACCACCACGUCGAUAGGCCAGAGGUGUAAGCGCAGCAAUGCGUUCAGCUGACUGGUACUAAUUGCUC
This 1498-nucleotide ribosomal RNA is filed under the name metagenome. RNAcentral's name for it is "bacterial LSU rRNA". It matches the Rfam family "Bacterial large subunit ribosomal RNA", at positions 1284 to 2910 of the family's 2925-position model. The record is from RNAcentral.